GAUGAACGCUGGCGGCGUGCCUAAUACAUGCAAGUCGAGCGAACGGACGAGAAGCUUGCUUCUCUGAUGUUAGCGGCGGAUGGGUGAGUAACACGUGGAUCACCUACCUUUACGACUGGGAUAACUUCGGGAUGCCGGAUCUAAUCCCGGAUAAUAUUUUGAACCGCAUGGUUCAAAAGUGAAUGACGGUCUUGCUGUUCCUUAUAGAUGGUUCCGCGCUGCAUUAGCUAGUUGGUAAGGUAACGGCUUACCAAGGCAACGAUGCAUAGCCGACCUGAGAGGGUGAUCGGCCACACUGGAACUGAGACACGGUCCAGACUCCUACGGGAGGCAGCAGUAGGGAAUCUUGCGCAAUGGGCGAAAGCCUGACGGAGCAACGCCGCGUGAGUGAUGAAGGUCUUCGGAUCGUAAAACUCUGUUAUUAGGGAAGAACAUAUGUGGGAGUAACUGUGCGCAUCUUGACGGUACCUAAUGAGAAAGCCACGGCUAACUACGUG
This 497-nucleotide ribosomal RNA is filed under the name uncultured bacterium. Its description in RNAcentral is "partial 16S ribosomal RNA". It matches the Rfam family "Bacterial small subunit ribosomal RNA", at positions 28 to 507 of the family's 1533-position model. The record is from RNAcentral.